UACGGAGGAUGCGAGCGUUAUCCGGAUUUAUUGGGUUUAAAGGGUGCGUAGGCGGGAUGCCAAGUCAGCGGUAAAAAUGCGGUGCUCAACGCCGUCGAGCCGUUGAAACUGGCGUUCUUGAGUGGGCGAGAAGUAUGCGGAAUGCGUGGUGUAGCGGUGAAAUGCAUAGAUAUCGCGCAGAACUCCGAUUGCGAAGGCAGCAUACCGGCGCCCUACUGACGCUGAGGCACGAAAGCGUGGGUAUCGAACGGG
Molecule: ribosomal RNA, 252 nt
Filed under: uncultured bacterium
Lineage: Bacteria
Description: partial 16S ribosomal RNA
Rfam family: Bacterial small subunit ribosomal RNA
Source: RNAcentral